CGUUUGACGUUAGCGACAGAAGAAAGCACCGGCUAACUCCGUGCCAGCAGCCGCGGUAAUACGGAGGGUGCGAGCGUUAAUCGGAAUUACUGGGCGUAAAGCGCAUGCAGGUGGUUUGUUAAGUUCAGAUGUGAAAGACCCGGGGCGUCAACCUCGGAAUAGCAUUUGUAAACUAGGCAGACUAGAGUACUGUAGAGGGGGGUAGGAAUUUCAGGUGUAGCGGUGAAAUAGCGUAGAGAUCUGAAGGAAUACCGGUGGCGAAGGCGGCCCCUCGGACAGAUACUGACACUCAGAUGCGAAAGCGUGGGGAGCAAACAGGAUUAGAUACCCUGGUAG
This 336-nucleotide ribosomal RNA is filed under the name uncultured bacterium. RNAcentral's name for it is "bacterial SSU rRNA". It matches the Rfam family "Bacterial small subunit ribosomal RNA", at positions 466 to 793 of the family's 1533-position model. The record is from RNAcentral.